This 301-nucleotide ribosomal RNA is filed under the name uncultured bacterium. Its description in RNAcentral is "partial 16S ribosomal RNA". It matches the Rfam family "Bacterial small subunit ribosomal RNA", at positions 509 to 807 of the family's 1533-position model. The record is from RNAcentral.
CAGCAGCCGCGGUAAUACGGAGGGUGCAAGCGUUAAUCGGAAUUACUGGGCGUAAAGCGUGCGUAGGCGGCUUCUUAAGUCGGAUGUGAAAUCCCUGAGCUUAACUUAGGAAUUGCAUUCGAUACUGGGAAGCUAGAGUAUGGGAGAGGAUGGUAGAAUUCCAGGUGUAGCGGUGAAAUGCGUAGAGAUCUGGAGGAAUACCGAUGGCGAAGGCAGCCAUCUGGCCUAAUACUGACGCUGAGGUACGAAAGCAUGGGGAGCAAACAGGAUUAGAUACCCCAGUAGUCCCUGUCUCUUAUAC